GGGCAUAUAGCUCAGUCGGUAGAGCAGACGACUCAUAAUCGUCCGGUCACUGGUUCGAAUCCAGUUGUGCCCACCA
This 76-nucleotide transfer RNA is filed under the name Candidatus Dojkabacteria bacterium. Its description in RNAcentral is "tRNA-Met". It matches the Rfam family "tRNA". Rfam says of the family: Transfer RNA (tRNA) molecules are approximately 80 nucleotides in length. Their secondary structure includes four short double-helical elements and three loops (D, anti-codon, and T loops). The record is from RNAcentral.